RNAcentral lists this long non-coding RNA (276 nucleotides) under Medicago truncatula (barrel medic). RNAcentral describes it as "long non-coding RNA (MTRU_LNC003331)". The record is from RNAcentral. Lineage: Eukaryota; Viridiplantae; Streptophyta; Magnoliopsida; Fabales; Fabaceae.
ACAUUCUCUCCUCCUCAUUCUCCUCCCUCCACUUCCUUUUACAACAACAAUGUGUUUUUUCCAUCCUUGGCCUUUCAUAGAAAGAGACAUCUUUGAAGAUUUCAAGAGGUUGCUUUGAAUUGGAGAUGAUAGGUGACCGGUCUUCUAGGGGUAAAAUCAAGUAGAUGUAGUUUUACCCCAGGAAGAUUGGCUUUCUUGUGGUUUUUUUUUACCCCAGGUUUAGUUUUACCCCAUUGUAAAUGUAUCCAUUAUAUUAAUAAAAUGAGAUUUUAUGUC